GACGAACGCUGGCGGCGUGCUUAACACAUGCAAGACGAACGGAAAGGCCCUGCUUUUGUGGGGUGCUCGAGUGGCGAACGGGUGAGUAACACGUGAGUAACCUGCCCUUGACUUUGGGAUAACUUCAGGAAACUGGGGCUAAUACCGGAUAGGAGCUCCUGCUGCAUGGUGGGGGUUGGAAAGUUUCGGCGGUUGGGGAUGGAUUCGCGGCUUAUCAGCUUGUUGGUGGGGUAGUGGCUUACCAAGGCUUUGACGGGUAGCCGGCCUGAGAGGGUGACCGGCCACAUUGGGACUGAGAUACGGCCCAGACUCCUACGGGAGGCAGCAGUGGGGAAUAUUGCACAAUGGGCGGAAGCCUGAUGCAGCAACGCCGCGUGCGGGAUGACGGCCUUCGGGUUGUAAACCGCUUUCGCCUGUGACGAAGCGUGAGUGACGGUAAUGGGUAAAGAAGCACCGGCUAACUACGUG
This 468-nucleotide ribosomal RNA is filed under the name uncultured bacterium. RNAcentral's name for it is "partial 16S ribosomal RNA". It matches the Rfam family "Bacterial small subunit ribosomal RNA", at positions 28 to 507 of the family's 1533-position model. The record is from RNAcentral.